AUUGAACGCUGGCGGCAGGCCUAGCACAUGCAAGUCGAGCGGAUGAAGGGAGCUUGCUCCUGGAUUCAGCGGCGGACGGGUGAGUAAUGCCUAGGAAUCUGCCUGGUAGUGGGGGAUAACGUCCGGAAACGGGCGCUAAUACCGCAUACGUCCUGAGGGAGAAAGUGGGGGAUCUUCGGACCUCACGCUAUCAGAUGAGCCUAGGUCGGAUUAGCUAGUUGGUGGGGUAAAGGCCUACCAAGGCGACGAUCCGUAACUGGUCUGAGAGGAUGAUCAGUCACACUGGAACUGAGACACGGUCCAGACUCCUACGGGAGGCAGCAGUGGGGAAUAUUGGACAAUGGGCGAAGGCCUGAUCCAGCCAUGCCGCGUGUGUGAAGAAGGUCUUCGGAUUGUAAAGCACUUUAAGUUGGGAGGAAGGGCAGUAAGUUAAUACCUUGCUGUUUUGACGUUACCAACAGAAUAAGCACCGGCUAACUUCGUG
RNAcentral lists this ribosomal RNA (484 nucleotides) under uncultured bacterium. RNAcentral describes it as "partial 16S ribosomal RNA". It matches the Rfam family "Bacterial small subunit ribosomal RNA", at positions 30 to 507 of the family's 1533-position model. The record is from RNAcentral.